Long non-coding RNA from Talpa occidentalis (Iberian mole), 317 nucleotides. RefSeq lists it as uncharacterized. NCBI's taxonomy places the organism in Eukaryota, Metazoa, Chordata, Mammalia, Eulipotyphla, Talpidae. The record is from RefSeq and is a predicted model, not a curated record. The transcript has 3 exons.
UGUCGCUGCGGGCCGGGCGGGGGCCGCGGGGCUGCGAUGCGGACGGGCCCGCGGCGGUGACCGGAGCUGCCGCCCGACAUGAACUCGCUGGAGCAGGCGGAAGAUCUCAAGGCUUUCGAGAGGAGACUUACUGAAUAUAUUCAUUGUUUGCAACCUGCUACUGGCCGUUGGAGAAUGCUUCUUAUAGUGGUAUCUGUCUGUACAGCUACUGGUGCCUGGAACUGGUUAAUAGAUCCCGAGACACAAAAGGUAGAAGUUUUGAUUUGAAAUCUUUUAUGAUUAAAUUAGAUAAUGGAUAUAGUAGAGUAGCGCUUUGU